Pogoniulus pusillus (Red-fronted tinkerbird) is the source of this 1341-nucleotide long non-coding RNA. RefSeq lists it as uncharacterized. The record is from RefSeq and is a predicted model, not a curated record. NCBI's taxonomy places the organism in Eukaryota, Metazoa, Chordata, Aves, Piciformes, Lybiidae. The transcript has 4 exons.
AAUUCCACUCCCUUUUUGCCGGUGCUUCCCAUGGAAUACAAGCAAGAGAAUCUGAGAAGGCUCCAGAGGUCUCAUUUAAACACCUUUGAGUGACGCCAUGCACUUAUUGCAAGUGCUGCAGCUGAACUCGGGGAAUCUGAUCUAGUGGAAGAUGUCUCUGCUCACUGCAAGAGGUUUGGACAAGAUGACCACUGGAGAUUGCUUCCUACUCAAACCAUUCUGUGAUUGUUGAGGCAUUUCCAGUGUCCAGGAUGCUGAUGAAAAUGGAAUCUGCGGUUCUUGUACUUUUGUCAAAAGGUUAUCUUGAAAAUAAACAUCGGCCACAAGAAUGUAAUACUUGCCAGCAACAAUUCUUUAGCAUGCUUCAGUGACCCUGGAAGCAUGUAAAGAUAUGGAUUUCAGAGAACCACACUGACUCUUCCAGAGAAUUGUUUCACUUGCCUAAAAUACCUCCUGCCUACGAGUCUGAAGAAAUAAACAAAAAAAUUAUCACCAGAAAUAGGAGAAAAGAAGAAAAGUAUCAUCCUGAUGAAGUAAGAGCGAAAUAGCUCUGCUUUUUCCAUCAAAAGAAGGAAGUAGAUAAAAGGAGAAAAUCUUUUUCCUGCAUAAAAAGUUAGGGGUGUGUGUGGAGGAAGCCUUUUCAUAAGGAGGAAAUGAAAGAUGAGAAAUUCUAAGCAGACACAAAUGAAAGAGAAAUGUCAACUAUGAAGUAAUUAAAGGGAAAAAAAUGUGGUCUGUGUUACUGAAGAUUUGAGGUAAAGAAGAGAGCUUAAAAUAUUCUAGCAAUAUACAUAACAUUGCCUCUGUUCAUAGUUAUGCUUGAAACAAGACCUAUUUUAAUGACUGAGUUCCAUGGCAGGAAGAACAAAAGAAGAACCCUCAGAACCUUUAAGGUGAUGCUUAUCCAGAGUAUUCUGUGGUUUAAAUUGUGUAGUUUUAAAAACAAAAGAGGAUUUAAAAGCUAAAUAAGACUAAAUAUUCCAUUAAAUAGGUGAUAUUGUUAUAAAAAAAUCCCAAACCAGAGUGACUGUUAUAGCCAAAUAUUUUGUGAUAGUACCUUAAAAUAUAUGUUUUCUUUAGAGUAGCAUUUCGAUAGUAUUCUCGAGACAGAAUGAAGGAGAGCUGGUCAGUGACAAAUACAACAGUAAUUUGGUUACUCUGCACAAAAAGACAUUAGUAAACUUUUGACUUAUUUGGACAAAACCAGAAUUCAGGUGCCUAACUCAUACUUUUACAACCAGCUAACUUUAUAUCUUGCCCAGAGACUUCUAAAGGCAUAAGAAAACAUAUUGCUUUUAUUAUGUACACUUUUACUUAAUAAAGAUCAAUGAUAAGUUGAAA